GAAUCUUUUACAUGGAAAUGCCAAUCGAACUCGGAGCUAGCUGGUUCUCCCCGAAAUGCGUUGAGGCGCAGCGGUUGACGAGCCAUGAGCUGUCUAGGGGUAAAGCACUGUAUCGGUGCGGGCUGCGAGAGCGGUACCAAAUCGUAGCAAACUAAGAAUACUAGGCAUGUCUUUCCGUCAACCAGUGAGACAGUGGGGGAUAAGCUCCAUUGUCAAGAGGGAAACAGCCCAGAUCACCAGCUAAGGCCCCUGAAUGAUCGCUAAGUGGAAAAGGAGGUGAGAAUGCCGAAACAGCCAGAAGGUUUGCUUAGAAGCAGCCAUCCUUUAAAGAGUGCGUAAUAGCUCACUGGUGGAGCGUUCUUGCGCCGAAAAUUUACGGGACUAAGCGAUCUGCCGAAGCUGUGGGAUACCGGCACAAAUAGCUGGUAUCGGUAGGGGAGCGUUCCGCCUUAGGGUGAAGCAUUGGUGUAAACCGGUGUGGACGAAGCGGAAGUGAGAAUGUCGGCUUGAGUAACGCAAACAUUGGUGAGAAUCCAAUGCCCCGAAAACCUAAGGGUUCCUUCACUAGGUUCGUCCAUGGAGGGUUAGUCGGGUCCUAAGGCUAGGCCGAAAGGCGUCGUCGAUGGGAAACAGGUUAACAUUCCUGUACUUCUUCUUGGUUGGCACCGAGGGACGAAGGAGGCACGAGGUGACCAAAAUUGGAUUUUGGUGGAAAUGGCUGAGGCGAGGAGAGAUAGAAGAGAAACUAUUCUUGAGCUGAACCAUGAUACGGCCUCAUUAUUAGCUGCAACCUCCGGGGAGUGGCUUUGUGGGGUUCACUUUUCUCUGUCAAACUUCCUAGAAAAGCUCGAACUGCUGCAACACCAAGAAGGACCCGUACCCGAAACCGACACAGGUAGGUGGGUAGAGAAUACCUAGGGGCGCGAGACAACUCUCUCUAAGGAACUCGGCAAAAUGGCCCCGUAACUUCGGGAGAAGGGGUGCCCCCGCAAGGGGGCCGCAGUGACCAGGCCCAGGCGACUGUUUACCAAAAACACAGGUCUCCGCUACGUCGCAAGACAAGAUAUGGGGGCUGACGCCUGCCCGGUGCCGGAAGGUGAAGGAAGUUGGUUAUUCUUCGGAAGAAGCUGGCGACCGAAGCCCCGGUGAACGGCGGCCGUAACUAUAACGGUCCUAAGGUAGCGAAAUUCCUUGUCGGGUAAGUUCCGACCCGCACGAAAGGCGUAACGAUCUGGGCACUGUCUCAGAGAGAGACUCGGUGAAAUAGACAUGUCCGUGAAGAUGCGGACUUCCUACACCUGGACAGAAAGACCCUAUGAAGCUUUACUGUAACCUGGAAUUGGGUUUGGGCCCCUUUUGCGCAGCCUAGGUGGGAGGCUAUGAGAGCUCUCUUCCGGGAGAGCUGGAGCCAUCAGUGAGAGACCACUCUGGAGGGGCUAGAAUUCUAAUGGUGCUCCUUGAAACAGGACACUUGACAGUUUCAGGUGGGCAGUUUGACUGGGGCGGUCACCUCCUAAAAGGUAACGGAGGUGUGCAAAGGUUCCCUCAGGCUGGACGGAAAUCAGCCGUAGAGUGUAAAGGCAUAAGGGAGCUUGACUGCAAGACCUACAAGUCGAGCAGGGGCGAAAGCCGGCCUUAGUGAUCCGACGGUGCCGAGUGGAAGGGCCGUCGCUCAACGGAUAAAAGUUACUCUAGGGAUAACAGGCUGAUCUUCCCCAAGAGUUCACAUCGACGGGAAGGUUUGGCACCUCGAUGUCGGCUCAUCGCAACCUGGGGCGGUAGUACGUCCCAAGGGUUGGGCUG
Molecule: ribosomal RNA, 1803 nt
Filed under: Pseudococcomyxa simplex
Lineage: Eukaryota; Viridiplantae; Chlorophyta; Trebouxiophyceae; Chlorellales; Oocystaceae
Description: bacterial LSU rRNA
Rfam family: Bacterial large subunit ribosomal RNA
Source: RNAcentral